This 224-nucleotide signal recognition particle RNA is filed under the name bovine gut metagenome. RNAcentral describes it as "Bacterial large signal recognition particle RNA". It matches the Rfam family "Bacterial large signal recognition particle RNA", at positions 3 to 224 of the family's 256-position model. From Rfam's summary of the family: The signal recognition particle (SRP) is a universally conserved ribonucleoprotein involved in the co-translational targeting of proteins to membranes. Archaeal SRP consists of a 7S RNA and homologues of the eukaryotic SRP19 and SRP54 proteins. In most bacteria, the SRP consists of a 4.5S RNA and the Ffh protein (a homologue of the eukaryotic SRP54 protein). The record is from RNAcentral.
GCGCUAGGCGGGGAGCCAGCGGUGCCCUGUACCUACAACCCGCUACAGUAGGGCCGAACGCCGUCCUCGGCGUUAUUAUUUGCGGAGCAGUCGCAGACAAGCAGUGAAGAUACCGGGGUCUCGUGCAAUAUCGAGCCGCGAACCGUGUCAGGGCGUGAGGCAGCAGCACUAAACGGAUUUCGGUGUGUGCCACGGGGUAGCUUCGGAGGAGCCGGCUGUCUGAA